RNAcentral lists this microRNA (21 nucleotides) under Rosa chinensis. Its description in RNAcentral is "sRNA RchiOBHm_Chr1g0341085". The record is from RNAcentral. Lineage: Eukaryota; Viridiplantae; Streptophyta; Magnoliopsida; Rosales; Rosaceae.
CAUCUCUGUAAAUUUUCAGCC